UGGGGAAUCUUGCGCAAUGGGCGAAAGCCUGACGCAGCGACGCCGCGUGGGGGAUGACGGCCUUCGGGUUGUAAACCUCUUUUACCACUUACGCAGGCUCUCAGUGUUCUGGGGGUUGACGGUCAGUGGGGAAUAAGGACCGGCUAACUACGUGCCAGCAGCCGCGGUAAUACGUAGGGUCCGAGCGUUGUCCGGAAUUAUUGGGCGUAAAGAGCUCGUAGGCGGCGUGUCGCGUCUGCUGUGAAAGACCGGGGCUCAACUUCGGUUGUGCAGUGGAUACGGGCAUGCUUGAGGUAGGUAGGGGAGACUGGAAUUCCUGGUGUAGCGGUGAAAUGCGCAGAUAUCAGGAGGAACACCGGUGGCGAAGGCGGGUCUCUGGGCCUUACCUGACGCUGAGGAGCGAAAGCAUGGGGAGCGAACAGGAUUAGAUACCCUGGUAGUCCAUGCCGUAAACGUUGGGCGCUAGGUGUGGGGACUUUCCACGGU
This 486-nucleotide ribosomal RNA is filed under the name uncultured bacterium. Its description in RNAcentral is "bacterial SSU rRNA". It matches the Rfam family "Bacterial small subunit ribosomal RNA", at positions 355 to 838 of the family's 1533-position model. The record is from RNAcentral.